UUUUGGACAAUGGGCGAAAGCCUGAUCCAGCAAUGCCGCGUGUGGGAAGAAGGCCUUCGGGUUGUAAACCACUUUUGUACGGAACGAAAAAGUCUGCCCUAAUACGGUGGGCUCAUGACGGUACCGUAAGAAUAAGCACCGGCUAACUACGUGCCAGCAGCCGCGGUAAUACGUAGGGUGCGAGCGUUAAUCGGAAUUACUGGGCGUAAAGCGUGCGCAGGCGGUUAUAUAAGACAGUUGUGAAAUCCCCGGGCUCAACCUGGGAAUUGCAUCUGUGACUGUAUAGCUAGAGUACGGUAGAGGGGGAUGGAAUUCCGCGUGUAGCAGUGAAAUGCGUAGAUAUGCGGAGGAACACCGAUGGCGAAGGCAAUCCCCUGGACCUGUACUGACGCUCAUGCACGAAA
Molecule: ribosomal RNA, 404 nt
Filed under: uncultured bacterium
Lineage: Bacteria
Description: bacterial SSU rRNA
Rfam family: Bacterial small subunit ribosomal RNA
Source: RNAcentral